CAAGGUAGCGUAAUCACUUGUUUUUUAAAUAAAGACUAGUAUGAAUGGCAUCACGAGGGUUAUACUGUCUCCUUUCUCUAAUCAGUGAAAUUAACCUCCCCGUGAAGAGGCGGGAAUAUUUUUAUAAGACGAGAAGACCCUAUGGAGCUUUAAACAAACUAUAUUUGCUUAACUACAUAAACAAUUUCAGAAAAAGAAUCCAUUUUAGCACUAUACUAGUUAGUUUUAGGUUGGGGUGACCGCGGAGAAAAAUAUAUCCUCCACAUUGAAUAAGAAAAUUUUUAGCUAAAAGUUACAUCUUGAAGCAUCAACAAAUUGACAUUCUUGACCCAAUUAAUUGAUCAAUGAACCAAGUUACCCUAGGGAUAACAGCGCAAUCUACUUCAAGAGCUCCUAUCGACAAGUAGGUUUACGACCUCGAUGUUGGAUCAGGAUAUCCUAGUGGUGUAGCCGCUACUAAAGGUUCGUUUGUUCAACGAUUAAAAUCUUACGUGAUCUGAGU
Molecule: ribosomal RNA, 502 nt
Filed under: Litoria sp. MM-2018
Lineage: Eukaryota; Metazoa; Chordata; Amphibia; Anura; Pelodryadidae
Description: partial large subunit ribosomal RNA
Rfam family: Bacterial large subunit ribosomal RNA
Source: RNAcentral